Oryza barthii is the source of this 202-nucleotide non-coding RNA. The record is from Rfam. Lineage: Eukaryota; Viridiplantae; Streptophyta; Magnoliopsida; Poales; Poaceae.
AAAAAGACAAACCUGGUUUCCGUGUCUAACGUUUGACCAUUUAUCUUAUUUAAAAAAAUUAUAAAAAAUAUUAAAAAGACAAGUUAAGCAUAAAAUAUUAAUUAUGUUUUAUCAUCUAACAAAAUGAAAAUACGAAUUAAAAAAAAUUUCAUAUAAGACGGAUAGUCAAAAUUGGACACGGAAAUUCAGGGUUUGUCUUUUU